UUAAAAUUAUAUUUUUUAAUUAUUAUUUAUUUAUUUAAGUAUUUUAGAAAUAAGUUUUUUUUAUUACCUGCUAAGUUUUUUUAUUAAAAAUAUAAUAAAAUUUAUUAGUACCUUUUGUAUCAGGGUUAAUUAAUUUUUUUAUUUAUUUUUAUUUCCCGAAAAAAGGGUAUCUAUAUUAUGUUUUUUUUUAUUGUUAAAUUAAUAUUUAUAAGCUUAUUAUAGUAGAAAUAUUCUAUUCGCCCCUUUAUUAUAUCUGGUUAUUUAGGAUUUCAAUUUAAUUGAAAAUUAAUGAUAAUUUUUAUUUUUUUUUAUAUUUAAUUUUAUAUAAUUUGGGAUAAUCUUUUUUAUUAUUUAAAAUUUUAAAUAAUUAAUUAUUCUUUAUUUUAAAAUCUUUUAUUUAGUUCUUAAUAGAUUAUAAUUGGUAUUUAUAAUUUUUUUUUAUUUAUAUUAUUACUAAAUUAUUUUAAUUAAUUGUUAUUUAUUUAAAUUAAUGAUUAAAUUAGUAUAAUUUAUAAUUAUAAUAUAAUUAAUUCGACAAAUUAAAUCUUCAACUGUUUAUCAAAAACAUUUCUUUUAGAAUAAAAUUAAAAGUAAAUUCUGCCCUAUGAAAUAUAUUAAAUGGCUGCAGUAUUUUGACUGUGCAAAGGUAGCAUAAUAAUUAGUCAUUUAAUUGUUGACUUGUAUGAAUGGAUAAAUGAGAGAUUAAUUUUUUUUAUUGUAUUAUUAAAAUUUUAUUUUUAAGUGAAAAAGCUUAGUUAGUUUUUAGGGACGAAAAGACCCUAUAGAACUUUAUUAUAUUUAAUUUAUUAAAUUUUUAGUAAAAUUUAUAUUAAUAGUUUAAUAAUUUUUUUGUUGGGGUGAUAGAUAAAUUUUAACUUUAUCUUUGUUUAUCAUUAAUUUAUGAUUUUUUUGAUCCUAUUUUGGAUUAUAAGUUUUAGUUACCUUAGGGAUAACAGCGUAAUUUUAAUGGGGAGUUCAUAUUUAUAUUAAAGUUUGCGACCUCGAUGUUGAAUUAAGAUAAGUAUAAGGGGUAGGUUUUUUAUUACUAAGUCUGUUCGACUUUUAAAUUCUUACAUGAUUUGAGUUCAAACCGGUGUGAGCCAGGUUGGUUUCUAUCUUAAAAUUACUUUUUUUUAUAGUACGAAAGGACCUAAAAAAUCAAUUUUUUUUGUUUAAAUUGAAUUUUAUU
RNAcentral lists this ribosomal RNA (1189 nucleotides) under Atkinsoniella uniguttata. Its description in RNAcentral is "16S ribosomal RNA". Lineage: Eukaryota; Metazoa; Arthropoda; Insecta; Hemiptera; Cicadellidae. The record is from RNAcentral.